UCCCAGACUCCUACGGGAGGCAGCAGUGGGGAAUAUUGCACAAUGGGGGAAACCCUGAUGCAGCAACGCCGCGUGAGUGAAGAAGUCCUUCGUGAUGUAAAGCUCUCUCAGCAGGGAAGAAAAUGACGGUACCUGAGUAAGAAGCCCCGGCUAACUACGUGCCAGCAGCCGCGGUAAUACGUAGGGGGCAAGCGUUAUCCGGAUUUACUGGGUGUAAAGGGAGCGUAGACGGCCAGACAAGUCUGAAGUGAAAAUCCAGCGCUUAACGGUGGAAGUGCUUUGGAAACUGCCGGGCUGGAGUGCAGGAGGGGCAGGCGGAAUUCCUAGUGUAGCGGUGAAAUGCGUAGAUAUUAGGAGGAACACCAGUGGCGAAGGCGGCCUGCUGGACUGCAACUGACGUUGAGGCUCGAAGGCGUGGGGAGCGAACAGGAUUAGAUACCCGCGUAC
Molecule: ribosomal RNA, 447 nt
Filed under: uncultured bacterium
Lineage: Bacteria
Description: bacterial SSU rRNA
Rfam family: Bacterial small subunit ribosomal RNA
Source: RNAcentral